AUUGAACGCUGGCGGCAUGCCUUACACAUGCAAGUCGAACGGUAACAGGUCUUCGGAUGCUGACGAGUGGCGAACGGGUGAGUAAUACAUGGGAACGUGCCUAGUAGUGGGGGAUAACUACUCGAAAGAGUGGCUAAUACCGCAUGAGAUCUACGGAUGAAAGCAGGGGAUCGCAAGACCUUGUGCUACUAGAGCGGCCGAUGGCAGAUUAGGUAGUUGGUGGGAUAAAAGCUUACCAAGCCGACGAUCUGUAGCUGGUCUGAGAGGACGAUCGGCCACACUGGGACUGAGACACGGCCCAGACUCCGACGGGAGGCAGCAGUGGGGAAUUUUGGACAAUGGGCGAAAGCCUGAUUCAGCAAUGCCGCGUGCAGGAUGAAGGCCUUCGGGUUGUAAACUGCUUUUGUACGGAACGAAAAGCCCCGGGUUAAUACCCUGGGGUCAUGACGGUACCGUAAGAAUAAGCACCGGCUAACUACGUGCCAGCCGCCGCCGUAA
RNAcentral lists this ribosomal RNA (498 nucleotides) under uncultured bacterium. RNAcentral describes it as "partial 16S ribosomal RNA". It matches the Rfam family "Bacterial small subunit ribosomal RNA", at positions 30 to 523 of the family's 1533-position model. The record is from RNAcentral.